GACGAACGCUGGCGGCGUGCUUAACACAUGCAAGUCGAACGGACGGACGCUUAGCAAUAGGCGAAAGUUAGUGGCGAACGGGUGAGUAACGCGUAGACAACCUACCUUCCAGAUGGGGACAACACCGCGAAAGUGGUGCUAAUACCGAAUGUGGUAUAUAAGGUGCAUGCCAUAUAUACGAAAGAUGGCCUCUAUAAAAAGCUAUCGCUAGAAGAAGGGUCUGCGUCUGAUUAGCUAGUUGGGGGGGUAACAGCCCACCAAGGCGACGAUCAGUAGCCGGUCUGAGAGGAUGAACGGCCACACUGGGACUGAGACACGGCCCAGACUCCUACGGGAGGCAGCAGUGGGGAAUCUUCCGCAAUGGACGAAAGUCUGACGGAGCAACGCCGCGUGAGUGAAGAAGGCCUUCGGGUCGUAAAGCUCUGUUAUUAGGGACGAACGUUUUCUAUGUGAAUAAUGUAGAGAAGUGACGGUACCUAAGGAGGAAGCCACGGCUAACUACGUG
This 505-nucleotide ribosomal RNA is filed under the name uncultured organism. Its description in RNAcentral is "bacterial SSU rRNA". It matches the Rfam family "Bacterial small subunit ribosomal RNA", at positions 28 to 507 of the family's 1533-position model. The record is from RNAcentral.